UAGGUUUAUCCCAAAACGCUUAUUUUGCUAGUGGCCACCACAAUUUAUUUCAUAACUUUGACCUCAAAUCAGGUAGGACUACCCGCUGAACUUAAGCAUAUCAAUAAGCGGAGGAAAAGAAACCAACAGGGAUUGCCUUAGUAGCGGCGAGUGAAGCGGCAAAAGCUCAAAUUUGAAAUCUGGCUCUUUCAGAGUCCGAGUUGUAAUUUGAAGAAGGUAUCUUUGGGUCUGGCUCUUGUCUAUGUUUCUUGGAACAGAACGUCACAGAGGGUGAGAAUCCCGUGCGAUGAGAUGAUCCAGGCCUAUGUAAAGUUCCUUCGAAGAGUCGAGUUGUUUGGGAAUGCAGCUCUAAGUGGGUGGUAAAUUCCAUCUAAAGCUAAAUAUUGGCGAGAGACCGAUAGCGAACAAGUACAGUGAUGGAAAGAUGAAAAGAACUUUGAAAAGAGAGUGAAAAAGUACGUGAAAUUGUUGAAAGGGAAGGGCUUGAGAUCAGACUUGGUAUUUUGUAUGUUACUUCUUCGGGGGUGGCCUCUACAGUUUAUCGGGCCAGCAUCAGUUUGGGCGGUAGGAGAAUUGCG
RNAcentral lists this ribosomal RNA (578 nucleotides) under Candida tropicalis. Its description in RNAcentral is "eukaryotic LSU rRNA". The stretch from base 59 to 578 matches the Rfam family "Eukaryotic large subunit ribosomal RNA", at positions 1 to 516 of the family's 3401-position model. The record is from RNAcentral. Lineage: Eukaryota; Fungi; Ascomycota; Pichiomycetes; Serinales; Debaryomycetaceae.